GCCGCCAUCGCCGCUCCCGCAGCUCCGGGGCCGAGAGGGGCCGCGGCUUCCCGGGCGCGGGGAAGGGCCCUGGGCUGGGCCAAGGCGGCGGCGGGCGGCGGCGCGGGGUCACGGCGGCGCCAUGGGGAAGCGGGAUAACCGUGUGGCUUAUAUGAAUCCCAUAGCUAUGGCCAGGGCACGAGGUCCUGCCCCAAAUUCAGGACCAACAAUACAAGACUACUUGAACAGGCCAAGACCAACGUGGGAAGAAGUGAAAGAGCAACUAGAAAAGAAAAAGAAAGGAUCCAGGGCUUUGGCUGAGUUUGAAGAAAAGAUGAAUGAGAAUUGGAGGAAAGAACUGGAAAAACACAGGGAGAAAUUACUGGGUGGAAAUGAGAGCUCCUCCAAAAAAAAAGAGAGAAAAAGAAAAAGGAAAAGAAGAAAUCUAAUAGGUUGUCUUCAUCUUCCUCUUCUUCAUCAAGCUCUGAUUCUUCCAGCAGUUCAUCUGAUUCAGAAGAUGAGGAUAAAAAGCAAGGGAAGAAAAGAAGGAAGAAGAAGUAUCGCUCCUCACGGAAAUCUUCAGCAAGCACAACUUCAGAAUCUGAGUCAGACAGCAAGGAUAGCACAAAAAAGAAGAGGUCAAAGGAAGACUGUGAAAAAGAGAAGGAAGGUAAAAAUCACCACAGGAAAAGGAAGAAAGCAGAUGGACCUUUAUCAUCAGAAUCUGUAUCUGAAUCGGAUCAGACAGAGGAGGUGCAAGCGAAAAAGAAGAAAAGCAAUGAGGAAAAAGAGAAAACAGAUAAAACAAAAAAGAGAAAGAAGCACAAGAAACAUGGUAAAAAGAAGAAAAAGAAGACUGCUGGUUCGAAUUCAGAUUCAGAAUAAUAUUUUAAAACAACCGGAGACUAUCAACAGAAGUGCAAUGACUAAAGGAAACUUAAACUGUGAAAUGACAGCAAACUUUACCAAACUGCAUGAGUUUUCCUGUGUUUUAGAAAUGUUCCUAAUCUUUCAGUAGCCAGCCAGAUGCAGCUGUGCUGGGAAAGACCAUUGUUAUUGCCUGCUGCUUAAUACACGAGGUGCUAACUUAGAACUUACCUCUAUUGCAUACGGAUGUUUCAAAUGUUGUGUUGCCAAGAAUUUCAGGACUUUCAAGACACUGAUUAUUAGUCUGCAAACCAUAACUAAAAUCUGUGGGAGAAAG
Pyrgilauda ruficollis (rufous-necked snowfinch) is the source of this 1183-nucleotide RNA transcript. It is a transcript of the gene named family with sequence similarity 133 member B, with no coding region annotated. The transcript is spliced from 12 exons. The record is from RefSeq and is a predicted model, not a curated record. Lineage: Eukaryota; Metazoa; Chordata; Aves; Passeriformes; Passeridae.